Molecule: long non-coding RNA, 2336 nt
Organism: Notechis scutatus (mainland tiger snake)
Lineage: Eukaryota; Metazoa; Chordata; Lepidosauria; Squamata; Elapidae
Source: Ensembl
GAGAGCAGGAACCUGAGAGGUUUGCAAAUCUGGUGCCUUUUUGCCCUUAUCUUGGCGUUGGGGAAGGCCAUUCUGCAACAUGAGGCUUUUGCCAACUAUGAAAGAGGAGAAUGAUUUCCCUAAGCCUUUUCUGCUUGAUGAAGAAGCUAAUGAGUUCAAACUGGUUAGUAUAUCUUCCUACCUGAAGAAAAUCUGGGGGUUCCUCUUACAACAAUCCACAAUGUUGUGGCACAACAUAAAGAGUGGCAUCAAAAAUACUGUGUCCUGCAUCUUCCGCAAGUACCCAGUGAAUCUGCCUUUCAUCAAAAUUCUCAAAAUUUUCAUCCUGGUUUUUUUGUUAUUUUCAUUAGUUUCAAUUUUAUUAUUAUUGAAGGAAAAAGGAAUAGGUAAAAUAUAUCCAUUUGGGAACAAUGUGGCCACCAGUGUUGUCCUUGUUAAAGGAGAUAACACAGAAACCAUCCCUAAAGAUCUCACUGCGACAGUCCUGCUGGAAGCCAAGGAAUCCGAACCAUUUUGUGAGGCCAUGAAAAAUUGCUUCGACACUGCUGUCAAUAAAUUUGAAUCAGAGCCACGGAUUGUAAAGGAGAAUGCCAAGAUGAUCCUCAAGUGUAACGGAACGAGGAAGGAGUUUGUGUCAGGAAAAGGAGAAAACUAUAUUGAGGUGUUCUGGGUGGAUGGCCAAACAUAUUACACGGUCAAAGAAGCCAACUCACAAGUCUAUGCGGCAAGGCUGGGGCGCCAACCCCUCAACCUUGGCAGCCUCUUGAAAGUCUACCAACAACUGGUCUCCCUUGAAGGGUCAGAGGAGCUACAGCAGUGCCUAAAUAAGACGAUAGAGAAAUUUCCCAAGGAACCACAUGCUGUGCAGGACAAUGCCGUGUUGCAGGUCUCAUGCGGAGAAAGUAAUGUGACCUUCCAUUCGGGAGCUGGGGAGAAUGAAAUCAACGUAUACAAAGUUAUGCAGGGGGAGAUUGUGUUUAAUGUAAAAGCAAAAGGAUGGGCUUGGUGGGCCAGAUUAUUCAGAAGGAACUAAGGUAAGGAAUGAUAUCAAAGAAGAUGGUGUGGGUGGAAGCUUUGCGGUUCUGCUGUAGAGGCAAAUGAUUUAAAAGUAGUUCUUGACUUAUGACCACAAUUGAGCCCCAAAUUGCUGUCACUAAGCAAGACAGUUGUAAAAUGACUUUUGCCCCAUUUUACAAUCUUUCUUGACACAGUUAAGUGAAUCACUGCAGUUGUUACCAGUGUUUCCCCAAAAAUAAGACCUUGUUUUAUUUUCUUUCGACCUCUGAAAUAAGCGCUAGGCCUUAUUUUCGGGGAUGUCUUAAUUUCCCUCUACACUUUGUUGUGCUGUUGAGUGUGUGAGCGGCGGUACCGGUGCUGAUGAGCCUCAUGGCAUCCUGCCGCGAGCAGCUGCAACUGCGCAAUGAACCUCACAGGACGCCGUGAAGCUCGUCACACUGGUGCCACCACUCAGGGCAGGACGCUGCAAGAUUUGUUGUGCCAUUGCGCACACAAGCAGCACAACAAACCUUGCAGCAUCUGAGCAGCAGGAGACAUGACAAGCCUCACGACAGUUCCACCACUCGUGCAACAACACAACAAGCCUUGCGGUGUCCUGCCGCAAGUGGCAUGACAAGCCUUCCAAAAUUUGGUGGAGUGAAACAAACCAGGGUUUCUACUGCAACUGGGGCGAGGCUUAACUAGGCCUUGUUUUUGGGCUGGGGCUUAUUUUAGGUGCAGGUCGUAUUUGGGGGGAAACGUAGUAAUACAGUUGUUAACUAAAUCUGGCUUCCUCAUUGACUUUGCUUCUCAAAAGGUCACAAAGGGUGACCUUUGGGACAUUGCAACCAACAUAAAUGCCCGUCAGUUUCCAAGCACCCAAAUUGUGAUCACAUGACCACGGGGAUACUACAAAUCGUCAUGUGGAAAACAGUCACAAGUCACUUUUUUCACCGCCAUUGUAACUUUGAACGGUCACUAAAUGAGUGUAAGUCGAGGCCUACCUAUAUUAUAAACAGAAGCAUCUCAUUAUACUUUCCCACAUGCAGAGUUACUGAGAUCCUACCAGUGCACUGGGCCUAUCAAUCAUUUGGCUGCUGAUGGAUUAUUCCUUGUUUUACAUAAUCGGAUUGUUUGAUCAGCUCACAAUUCCAGAAUUGCUUCACUCAGUAAACAGCUGUAGAUAAAUAUAUAUAUAUAAAAUAAUGGUCAGAAUCUUGUAAGGCAAUCACUUUUAUCUCCAAUCCAGGAAUCCACCAAUGCUGUAUUUUCCAUAUUGUAUCUUCUGAUCUCUUUUUAAUGAUUGCUUAAAUAAAGUUUUCAAUUGUUACCGGGUGUCA